Molecule: ribosomal RNA, 423 nt
Filed under: uncultured bacterium
Lineage: Bacteria
Description: partial 16S ribosomal RNA
Rfam family: Bacterial small subunit ribosomal RNA
Source: RNAcentral
GAAUAUUGGACAAUGGGGGGAACCCUGAUCCAGCCAUGCCGCGUGUGGGAAGAAGGCCUUUUGGUUGUAAAGCACUUUAAGCGGGGAGGAGGUUACUCUAGCUAAUAACUAGGGAUCGUGUACGUUACUGGCAGAAUCCGCAACGGCUCACUCGGUGCCAGCCUCCGCGGUAAUACAGAGGGUGCAAGCGUUAAUCGGAUUUACUGGGCGUAAAGCGCGCGUAGGUGGCCAAUUAAGUCAAAUGUGAAAUCCCCGAGCUUAACUUAGGAAUUGCAUUCGAUACUGGUUGGCUAGAGUAUGGGAGAGGAUGGUAGAAUUCCAGGUGUAGCGGUGAAAUGCGUAGAGAUCUGGAGGAAUACCGAUGGCGAAGGCAGCCAUCUGGCCUAAUACUGACACUGAGGUGCGAAAGCAUGGGGAGCAAAC